GGUUUAAAACCCAGUUACCAAGGUAAUUCGGAGUUCUGACCUUUCGAAAGAAAGCGUCUUUUACAAUAAAUUUUGGAUUAGUUCAGUCGGGGUUUCCGGCUGAACAAAA
Small nuclear RNA from Caenorhabditis elegans, 109 nucleotides. The record is from Ensembl. NCBI's taxonomy places the organism in Eukaryota, Metazoa, Nematoda, Chromadorea, Rhabditida, Rhabditidae.